GGCACCUGGACGCUCAGUCUACGGCGCCACGCUAGCUCGCACUCUGACCUGAGGGAGAGAGUGAUUGGAGGGCCCUUAACUGAAGACUACAAGACAUUCAGGGGACUCCUACCCUGAAGAGGCAGAACCAUCCCUCCAUGUAAGUGCCACGGAGUGAUCCCUGAGCCUUGGGUCUCCUGGGACGCCUGUGCUUCCGCCAUCAGGAUGACUCGUCCCUGAAAUCCACCUUCUAGUCUUUGUCACUUCAGCCUGAGGCUAGGACACUUUCAAAUCACACAAGCCUUGGGGAGGAUGAACACUUUCAAGUUGUCUUCAGUUGACAUUCAUCCAUUUCUUCACCAGUGUUGGCUGAGCAUCCGUCGUGAGGAAGCACAUCAGAGUUGCCCAGUCGCUUUCAGAUCCACUGUCUUCUCUGAUCUUCAGAUUAUCUUUUGAGGCACAUGUGGCACGGAUAUCAUGCUGUUGUCAUAGAGACGCAAAGCAGAGUUAUUGCCUGAGUUGACCACAGCUAGUGUGAGCCAGACUUGAAGGAAGAUGUCGGCAGACAACAGCAAUAGGAGGUGGUGAGAGCCUGGGGGGACCUGGCAGCGUAUCAGCAGCAGCUACUUACAUCUCAGAAGCUGAGGCUUCUUCCUGCUGCCACUUUGCACAGCAUGGCUGAUGAAAGGAUGUCCAGAUGAUGAGAAAGCGAGGGGUCAGAAGAUCGAGAUUCUCCGGCUGGACUGAGGAUGCUGUUGAUGCUUUCAAACGCUCCACUCUCUGCCCUGCCUUCCCUUCUUGCUCCCUGUCCUUCUCCUGUUUGAUCCUGGCUGUACCCCUUCUACAGCUCCUUGUCCACUGCACACUAGGACAGUCUAGACAUUCAGUCAUUCAACAAACAUCUAUUGGGUUUAACCAUGUCCUCUGCACUGUGUUAGAUGGUGGCUAUAGAGUAGUGAAGAGACAAGAUGCUGGCUCACAUGGAGCUUCUAGGCCAGCAGAGCAGUUAGAUCCUGAACUAAUACCUCUAUGUUUCACAAGGUGGAAGAGUUCUUUACCAGAAUUCCAGAGAGCUGUUUCCUGUCAGGGAAGAGCCUCAGCAAGGUAGACUGGCUUCCACAUCCAGGGCUGAGUGUAGGAGGGAGGGUCCCAAGCAGAGAAGUGACACGGAGGGCAGCAUGGAAGAGGAAGCACAAGGGCAGUCAAGAGACCUGGGGAAAGGAGAGAGAACUUUUGUAGCUGCCUGAAGUGAGAAAUUUUAAGGAGACAGACAAAUAUCCAAAGUGUCUUUUUGGAAAGCUGUCUGCAGGAAGCACUAUAGAAAACCCCUGGGCUUUAAAGUAAAGCAAAUAAAAGUUGUUGUUUUCAAAAUUACUCUUCAGGAUUUUAAUAGCGG
Molecule: long non-coding RNA, 1375 nt
Organism: Equus caballus (horse)
Lineage: Eukaryota; Metazoa; Chordata; Mammalia; Perissodactyla; Equidae
Source: Ensembl